GCUGGGCGUGGUGGCGUGCGCCUGUAACCGAGCUACUACGGAGCGGGUAGUGUCGAAUGACUUGAGGUCGGGACUCCUGUCGUACGUCGAUCUAUGUCGAUCGGGUGUCCACACUAAGUUGGGCGCCAAUAUGGUGAACUUAGGGGAACCUUCGUUCACCAGGUUGAAUAAAGAGGAACGUACCGGUCCAGGAUGGAAACAUAGCAGACAAAAGUUCCCGCGUCAAACAGUAGUGGGAUAGCACUUGUGAAUAGGAGGCGUGCGACAGCCCGGUCAAGAUAGUUGAACCCGCUACCCUU
This is a non-coding RNA of Paramuricea clavata, 299 nucleotides long. The record is from the annotation of a GenBank genome assembly. Lineage: Eukaryota; Metazoa; Cnidaria; Anthozoa; Malacalcyonacea; Plexauridae.